Molecule: long non-coding RNA, 1036 nt
Organism: Chelonia mydas (Green sea turtle)
Lineage: Eukaryota; Metazoa; Chordata; Testudines; Cheloniidae
Exons: 3
Source: RefSeq, a predicted model, not a curated record
CAGUAGAUUUAACUUUAUAUUCCCUUCCUGUCCCUCCCAAAGUGCACUUUAAAUUCAGACCCUGUUGAUAUGAGUGAACUAUAAAAAAGACCAAGGAUCUGAUUCAUGAAAGCUUUGGAACAGUAGCGUUCUUCCACUGCUGGAGAAAGAGAAAAUAUAGUCCUUUUAGUAUACUUCUGUAGCGGAGGGCACAGGAAUAUCUGUGCCAAUUAACUGACUCACUUUGCUCACAGAAGUUACAAAACAGCAUUUCAGCAGAGGAUGCAGAAGCUUGUGUGACGCUACAGACAAAAACCUGUCAAUCCAUUUCAAGUCCCAUUUCAAAGCUGAUCACCCUCAACAGCUGGAAAAGAACAACAUAACUUGUCCAGCUAAGCAACAUGGCUUUGAAGGGAAUGUCUCUGAUAUGUCUGUUAUUCAUUGCUACGUCUGUCAUCAGCAUCUCUCGCGCUCAGAACCCCCUGGCCUUCAGACGGAAACAUUUGACCCUACUGGACACCAUAGACCACAACAGAUGUAAUAGUGAAAUGAGAAACAAAUGGAUCGCAAUGACUAGAGAUGGCUGUAAAAAACUCAACACGUUCAUUCAUGCUCGCGAGGAGGUUAUCGAUGCCACAUGCACCAUGGGGAAAGUGCAUGUCAUAAAGGGCCAGGAGUAUAAAAAAAGUAUUCGUAAAUUCAGGGUCACUAAUUGCAGACUCUCUGGGGAAUACCCUAAUGACUGCGAGUACAUGGCGGAAAAGAGUGCCUGGAAAUAUAUAGUCAUCUCUUGUGACCAGAACGAUCGCCCAGUGCAUUUUGCAGGGACACUGAACUGGUAGGAGUCAGGAAGUGGGUGAAGGGGCUUAUUCCUAAUGCUUCGGGGUGCUGCAGCCUCUUGUGCUGCAAAUCACACCAUUUAUACUGACAGGUUUCAGAGUAACAGCCGUGUUAGUCUGUAUUCGCAAAAAGAAAAGGAGUACUUGUGGCACCUUAGAGACUAACCAAUUUAUUUGAGCAUGAGCUUUCGUGAGCUGUAGCUCACAAAAGCUCAUGC